Molecule: ribosomal RNA, 490 nt
Filed under: uncultured bacterium
Lineage: Bacteria
Description: bacterial SSU rRNA
Rfam family: Bacterial small subunit ribosomal RNA
Source: RNAcentral
GAUGAACGCUGGCGGCGUGCCUAACACAUGCAAGUCGAACGGGGUUACACGAGUAGCAAUACUUGUGCAACCUAGUGGCGGACGGGUGAGUAACGCGUGAGCAACCUACCUUCCAGAGGGGGAUAACACAGGGAAACCUGUGCUAAUACCGCAUAAAGUACAGUGGGGGCAUCCCUGCAGUACCAAAGGAGCAAUCCGCUGGGAGAUGGGCUCGCGUCCGAUUAGGUAGUUGGUGGGUAACGGCUCACCAAGCCGACGAUCGGUAGCCGGACUGAGAGGUUGGCCGGCCACAUUGGGACUGAGACACGGCCCAGACUCCUACGGGAGGCAGCAGUGGGGAAUAUUGGGCAAUGGGCGAAAGCCUGACCCAGCCAUGCCGCGUGAAGGAAGACGGCCUUAUGGGUUGUAAACUUCUUUACUACGCGAAUAGAGGUUAGUACGAGAUACUAAUAGGAAGGUAGUGUAGUAAAAAGCACCGGCUAACUCCGUG